This 75-nucleotide transfer RNA is filed under the name Parageobacillus thermoglucosidasius. RNAcentral's name for it is "tRNA-Lys". It matches the Rfam family "tRNA". Rfam says of the family: Transfer RNA (tRNA) molecules are approximately 80 nucleotides in length. Their secondary structure includes four short double-helical elements and three loops (D, anti-codon, and T loops). The record is from RNAcentral. Lineage: Bacteria; Bacillati; Bacillota; Bacilli; Caryophanales; Anoxybacillaceae.
UGAGCCAUUAGCUCAGCAGGUAGAGCAUCUGACUUUUAAUCAGAGGGUCGGAGGUUCGAAUCCUCCAUGGCUCAU